Leptinotarsa decemlineata (Colorado potato beetle) is the source of this 399-nucleotide long non-coding RNA. RefSeq lists it as uncharacterized. Lineage: Eukaryota; Metazoa; Arthropoda; Insecta; Coleoptera; Chrysomelidae. The record is from RefSeq and is a predicted model, not a curated record.
GGACGCCGUAUAGUAUAGAUGUUUCUAUUUGAACCGAACAAUACAACGGAACCUACAGAUGAAUCAGUGCCGGUUUUGAAAUAUAACUCACUCCUACAGCAUCGAUAAAGCAGAGUUGAUAACUUAGUGACAACAUGUGUUGUUUAUGUGAAGCGGUGUCAUGCAUCUGUUCAACUAUUACUCUGAUUGUACUGAUAGCGCUAAUAACUGGAAUUGUAUUUUUGGUACUAUUUCUCGAGAAGAAAUUGUAGAAUCUGGACUGAUUGACAUCCCUCAAUUCAAAAAUUUUUUGAAUUACCUUUUUUCUACCUGACUUUGCUGAAUUCACAUGGAUAGACUAUUUAUACCUUUGUUCGAAGUUAAUGAAUAAUGAUUUACAUUAAAAUUGUGAGAUUCAAA